CUAUGGUUAAGGAACUCGGCAAAAUGCCCCCGUAACUUCGGGAGAAGGGGGGCCGGAAUACCGUGAACACCCUUGCGGUGGGAGCGGGAUUCGGCCGCAGAAACCAGUGGGUAGCGACUGUUUACUAAAAACACAGGUCCGUGCGAAGUCGCAAGACGAUGUAUACGGACUGACGCCUGCCCGGUGCUGGAAGGUUAAGAGGACCCGUUAACCCGUAAGGGUGAAGCGGAGAAUUUAAGCCCCAGUAAACGGCGGUGGUAACUAUAACCAUCCUAAGGUAGCGAAAUUCCUUGUCGGGUAAGUUCCGACCUGCACGAAUGGCGUAACGACUUCCCAACUGUCUCAACCAUAGACUCGGCGAAAUUGCACUACGAGUAAAGAUGCUCGUUACGCGCGGCAGGACGAAAAGACCCCGGGACCUUCACUACAACUUGGUAUUGGUGUUCGGUACGGUUUGUGUAGGAUAGGUGGGAGACUUUGAAGCACAGACGCCAGUUUGUGUGGAGUCGUUGUUGAAAUACCACUCUGAUCGUAUUGGACACCUAACGUCGAACCCUUAUCGGGUUCACGGACAGUGCCUGGCGGGUAGUUUAACUGGGGCGGUUGCCUCCUAAAAUGUAACGGAGGCGCCCAAAGGUUCCCUCAACCUGGACGGCAAUCAGGUGGCGAGUGUAAGUGCACAAGGGAGCUUGACUGCGAGACUUGCAAGUCAAGCAGGGACGAAAGUCGGGACUAGUGAUCCGGCACCCCCGAGUGGAAGGGGUGUCGCUCAACGGAUAAAAGGUACCCCGGGGAUAACAGGCUGAUCUUCCCCAAGAGUCCAUAUCGACGGGAUGGUUUGGCACCUCGAUGUCGGCUCGUCGCAUCCUGGGGCUGGAGCAGGUCCCAAGGGUUGGGCUGUUCGCCCAUUAAAGCGGCACGCGAGCUGGGUUUAGAACGUCGUGAGACAGUUCGGUCUCUAUCCGCCGCGCGCGUCAGAAACUUGAGGAAACCUGUCCCUAGUAC
Molecule: ribosomal RNA, 1005 nt
Filed under: Mycobacterium avium
Lineage: Bacteria; Bacillati; Actinomycetota; Actinomycetes; Mycobacteriales; Mycobacteriaceae
Description: partial 23S ribosomal RNA
Rfam family: Bacterial large subunit ribosomal RNA
Source: RNAcentral